UUAAGCGACUAAGCGUACACGGUGGAUGCCCUGGCAGUCAGAGGCGAUGAAGGACGUGCUAAUCUGCGAUAAGCGUCGGUAAGGUGAUAUGAACCGUUAUAACCGGCGAUUUCCGAAUGGGGAAACCCAGUGUGUUUCGACACACUAUCAUUAACUGAAUCCAUAGGUUAAUGAGGCGAACCGGGGGAACUGAAACAUCUAAGUACCCCGAGGAAAAGAAAUCAACCGAGAUUCCCCCAGUAGCGGCGAGCGAACGGGGAGGAGCCCAGAGCCUGAAUCAGUGUGUGUGUUAGUGGAAGCGUCUGGAAAGGCGCGCGAUACAGGGUGACAGCCCCGUACACAAAAAUGCACAUGCUGUGAGCUCGAUGAGUAGGGCGGGACACGUGGUAUCCUGUCUGAAUAUGGGGGGACCAUCCUCCAAGGCUAAAUACUCCUGACUGACCGAUAGUGAACCAGUACCGUGAGGGAAAGGCGAAAAGAACCCCGGCGAGGGGAGUGAAAAAGAACCUGAAACCGUGUACGUACAAGCAGUGGGAGCACGCUUAGGCGUGUGACUGCGUACCUUUUGUAUAAUGGGUCAGCGACUUAUAUUCUGUAGCAAGGUUAACCGAAUAGGGGAGCCGAAGGGAAACCGAGUCUUAACUGGGCGUUAAGUUGCAGGGUAUAGACCCGAAACCCGGUGAUCUAGCCAUGGGCAGGUUGAAGGUUGGGUAACACUAACUGGAGGACCGAACCGACUAAUGUUGAAAAAUUAGCGGAUGACUUGUGGCUGGGGGUGAAAGGCCAAUCAAACCGGGAGAUAGCUGGUUCUCCCCGAAAGCUAUUUAGGUAGCGCCUCGUGAAUUCAUCUCCGGGGGUAGAGCACUGUUUCGGCAAGGGGGUCAUCCCGACUUACCAACCCGAUGCAAACUGCGAAUACCGGAGAAUGUUAUCACGGGAGACACACGGCGGGUGCUAACGUCCGUCGUGAAGAGGGAAACAACCCAGACCGCCAGCUAAGGUCCCAAAGUCAUGGUUAAGUGGGAAACGAUGUGGGAAGGCCCAGACAGCCAGGAUGUUGGCUUAGAAGCAGCCAUCAUUUAAAGAAAGCGUAAUAGCUCACUGGUCGAGUCGGCCUGCGCGGAAGAUGUAACGGGGCUAAACCAUGCACCGAAGCUGCGGCAGCGACGCUUAUGCGUUGUUGGGUAGGGGAGCGUUCUGUAAGCCUGUGAAGGUGUGCUGUGAGGCAUGCUGGAGGUAUCAGAAGUGCGAAUGCUGACAUAAGUAACGAUAAAGCGGGUGAAAAGCCCGCUCGCCGGAAGACCAAGGGUUCCUGUCCAACGUUAAUCGGGGCAGGGUGAGUCGACCCCUAAGGCGAGGCCGAAAGGCGUAGUCGAUGGGAAACAGGUUAAUAUUCCUGUACUUGGUGUUACUGCGAAGGGGGGACGGAGAAGGCUAUGUUGGCCGGGCGACGGUUGUCCCGGUUUAAGCGUGUAGGCUGGUUUUCCAGGCAAAUCCGGAAAAUCAAGGCUGAGGCGUGAUGACGAGGCACUACGGUGCUGAAGCAACAAAUGCCCUGCUUCCAGGAAAAGCCUCUAAGCAUCAGGUAACAUCAAAUCGUACCCCAAACCGACACAGGUGGUCAGGUAGAGAAUACCAAGGCGCUUGAGAGAACUCGGGUGAAGGAACUAGGCAAAAUGGUGCCGUAACUUCGGGAGAAGGCACGCUGAUAUGUAGGUGAAGUCCCUCGCGGAUGGAGCUGAAAUCAGUCGAAGAUACCAGCUGGCUGCAACUGUUUAUUAAAAACACAGCACUGUGCAAACACGAAAGUGGACGUAUACGGUGUGACGCCUGCCCGGUGCCGGAAGGUUAAUUGAUGGGGUCAGCGCAAGCGAAGCUCUUGAUCGAAGCCCCGGUAAACGGCGGCCGUAACUAUAACGGUCCUAAGGUAGCGAAAUUCCUUGUCGGGUAAGUUCCGACCUGCACGAAUGGCGUAAUGAUGGCCAGGCUGUCUCCACCCGAGACUCAGUGAAAUUGAACUCGCUGUGAAGAUGCAGUGUACCCGCGGCAAGACGGAAAGACCCCGUGAACCUUUACUAUAGCUUGACACUGAACAUUGAGCCUUGAUGUGUAGGAUAGGUGGGAGGCUUAGAAGUGUGGACGCCAGUCUGCAUGGAGCCGGCCUUGAAAUACCACCCUUUAAUGUUUGAUGUUCUAACGUUGACCCGUAAUCCGGGUUGCGGACAGUGUCUGGUGGGUAGUUUGACUGGGGCGGUCUCCUCCUAAAGAGUAACGGAGGAGCACGAAGGUUGGCUAAUCCUGGUCGGACAUCAGGAGGUUAGUGCAAUGGCAUAAGCCAGCUUGACUGCGAGCGUGACGGCGCGAGCAGGUGCGAAAGCAGGUCAUAGUGAUCCGGUGGUUCUGAAUGGAAGGGCCAUCGCUCAACGGAUAAAAGGUACUCCGGGGAUAACAGGCUGAUACCGCCCAAGAGUUCAUAUCGACGGCGGUGUUUGGCACCUCGAUGUCGGCUCAUCACAUCCUGGGGCUGAAGUAGGUCCCAAGGGUAUGGCUGUUCGCCAUUUAAAGUGGUACGCGAGCUGGGUUUAGAACGUCGUGAGACAGUUCGGUCCCUAUCUGCCGUGGGCGCUGGAGAACUGAGGGGGGCUGCUCCUAGUACGAGAGGACCGGAGUGGACGCAUCACUGGUGUUCGGGUUGUCAUGCCAAUGGCACUGCCCGGUAGCUAAAUGCGGAAGAGAUAAGUGCUGAAAGCAUCUAAGCACGAAACUUGCCCCGAGAUGAGUUCUCCCUGACCCUUUAAGGGUCCUGAAGGAACGUUGAAGACGACGACGUUGAUAGGCCGGGUGUGUAAGCGCAGCGAUGCGUUGAGCUAACCGGUACUAAUGAACCGUGAGGCUUAACCU
RNAcentral lists this ribosomal RNA (2901 nucleotides) under Escherichia coli. Its description in RNAcentral is "bacterial LSU rRNA". It matches the Rfam family "Bacterial large subunit ribosomal RNA". Lineage: Bacteria; Pseudomonadati; Pseudomonadota; Gammaproteobacteria; Enterobacterales; Enterobacteriaceae. The record is from RNAcentral.